Molecule: ribosomal RNA, 468 nt
Filed under: uncultured bacterium
Lineage: Bacteria
Description: partial 16S ribosomal RNA
Rfam family: Bacterial small subunit ribosomal RNA
Source: RNAcentral
GACGAACGCUGGCGGCGUGCUUAACACAUGCAAGUCGAACGGAAAGGCCCUGCUUUUGUGGGGUGCUCGAGUGGCGAACGGGUGAGUAGCACGUGAGUAACCUGAUCUUGACUUUGGGAUAACUUCAGGAAACUGGGGCUAAUCCCGGAUAGCAGCUCCUGCUGCAUGGUGGGGGUUGGAAAGUUUCGGCGGGUGGGGAUGGACUCGCGGCUUAUCAGCUUGUUGGUGGGGUAGUGGCUUACCAAGGCUUUGACGGGUAGCCGGCCUGGGAGGGUGACCGGCCACAUUGGGACUGAGAGACGGCCCAGACUCCUACGGGAGGCAGCAGUGGGGAAUAUUGCACAAUGGGCGCAAGCCUGAUGCAGCAACGCCGCGUGCGGGAUGACGGCCUUCGGGUUGUAAACCGCUUUCGCCUGUGACGAAGCGUGAGUGACGGUAAUGAGUAAAGAAGCACCGGCUAACUACGUG